GACGAAGGGGGCUAGCGUUGUUCGGAAUCACUGGGCGUAAAGCGCACGUAGGCGGCUUUCUAAGUCGGGUGUGAAAUCCUGGAGCUCAACUCCAGAACUGCCUUCGAUACUGGAAAGCUAGAGUCCGGGAGAGGUGAGUGGAACUGCGAGUGUAGAGGUGAAAUUCGUAGAUAUUCGCAAGAACACCAGUGGCGAAGGCGGCUCACUGGCCCGGUCCUGACGCUGAGGUGCGAAAGCGUGGGGAGCAAACAGG
RNAcentral lists this ribosomal RNA (253 nucleotides) under uncultured bacterium. Its description in RNAcentral is "partial 16S ribosomal RNA". It matches the Rfam family "Bacterial small subunit ribosomal RNA", at positions 524 to 776 of the family's 1533-position model. The record is from RNAcentral.